RNAcentral lists this transfer RNA (76 nucleotides) under Holosporaceae bacterium. RNAcentral's name for it is "tRNA-Glu". It matches the Rfam family "tRNA". From Rfam's summary of the family: Transfer RNA (tRNA) molecules are approximately 80 nucleotides in length. Lineage: Bacteria; Pseudomonadati; Pseudomonadota; Alphaproteobacteria; Holosporales; Holosporaceae. The record is from RNAcentral.
GUCCCCUUCGUCUAGUGGUCCAGGACGCCGCCCUCUCACGGCGGCAACGCGGGUUCGAAUCCCGCUGGGGACACCA